CCUACGGGAGGCAGCAGUGGGGAAUAUUGGGCAAUGGAGGAAACUCUGACCCAGCAACGCCGCGUGAAAGAUGAAGGUUUUCGGAUUGUAAACUUCUGUCGCGAGGGAUGAAGAAUGACGGUACCUCGUAAGAAAGCCCCGGCAAACUACGUGCCAGCAGCCGCGGUAAUACGUAGGGGGCGAGCGUUGUCCGGAAUGACUGGGCGUAAAGGGAGUGUAGGCGGGUUAUUAAGGCAUGUGUGAAAGCGGGCGGCUCAACCGUGAAAUUGCAAAUAAAACUGGUAAGAGGGAGUGCAGGUGAGGUAGGUGUAAUUCGUGGUGUAGCGGGGAAAUGCUUAGAGAUAACGAAGAAC
Molecule: ribosomal RNA, 353 nt
Filed under: uncultured bacterium
Lineage: Bacteria
Description: partial 16S ribosomal RNA
Rfam family: Bacterial small subunit ribosomal RNA
Source: RNAcentral